GACGAACGCUGGCGGCGUGCUUAACACAUGCAAGUCGAACGGAAAGGCCCUGCUUUUGUGGGGUGCUCGAGUGGCGAACGUGUGAGUAACACGUGAGUAACCUGCCCUUGACUUUGGUAUAACUUCAGGAAACUGUGGCUAAUACCGGAUAGGAGCUCCUGCUGCAUGGUGUGGGUUGGAAAGUUUCGGGGGUUGGGGAUUGACUCGCGGCUUAUCAGCUUGUUGGUGGGGUAGUGGCUUACCAAGGCUUUGACGGGUGGCCGGCCUGAGGGGGGGACCGGCAAAAUUGGGAAUGGAGAAAGGCCAAACACCCCAAGGGGGGCAGGAGGGGGGAAAUUGGACAAAGGGGGCGAAGCCGAUGGAGGGAAGCCGCGGGGGGGGAGAAAGGCCUUGGGGUGUGAAAACCGUUUGCGCGGGGAGGAAGGGUUAGUGACGGUAAAUGGAAAAGAAGCACCGGCUAACUACGUG
This 468-nucleotide ribosomal RNA is filed under the name uncultured bacterium. RNAcentral's name for it is "partial 16S ribosomal RNA". It matches the Rfam family "Bacterial small subunit ribosomal RNA", at positions 28 to 507 of the family's 1533-position model. The record is from RNAcentral.